Molecule: non-coding RNA, 186 nt
Organism: Aphanizomenon flos-aquae
Lineage: Bacteria; Bacillati; Cyanobacteriota; Cyanophyceae; Nostocales; Aphanizomenonaceae
Source: Rfam
AUCAAGCAAGCCGUGCUGACCAGACCACCCUGAGCGUAGUCGAAGGGUAGCCGUUAUUUGAGUCACGACACCCCGGAAUGCGAAGCUAGUUCCCUGCUCUGUCAUUUGCAAUUAAACAGUUUUAAGGUCACUGAAACAGUGUUGCAAGUCUAACAAGCUCUUAUAACUGGUCGAAGCUAACAUCAC